CAUGCAGGCGGUUACAUAAGUCAGGUGUGGAAUCCCCGCGCUUAACGUGGGCAUUGCAUUUGAAACUAUGUAGCUAGAGUUCUGUAGAGGGGGGUAGAAUUCCAGGUGUAGCGGUGAAAUGCGUAGAGAUCUGGAGGAACACCAGUGGCGAAGGCGGCUCACUGGCUCGAUACUGACGCUGAGGUGCGAAAGCGUGGGGAGCAAACAGGAUUAGAUACCCCAGUA
This 225-nucleotide ribosomal RNA is filed under the name uncultured Thorsellia sp. RNAcentral's name for it is "partial 16S ribosomal RNA". It matches the Rfam family "Bacterial small subunit ribosomal RNA", at positions 568 to 792 of the family's 1533-position model. Lineage: Bacteria; Pseudomonadati; Pseudomonadota; Gammaproteobacteria; Enterobacterales; Thorselliaceae. The record is from RNAcentral.